Molecule: ribosomal RNA, 253 nt
Filed under: uncultured Comamonadaceae bacterium
Lineage: Bacteria; Pseudomonadati; Pseudomonadota; Betaproteobacteria; Burkholderiales; Comamonadaceae
Description: partial 16S ribosomal RNA
Rfam family: Bacterial small subunit ribosomal RNA
Source: RNAcentral
UACAGAGGGUGCGAGCGUUAAUCGGAUUUACUGGGCGUAAAGCGUGCGCAGGCGGUUUUGUAAGACAGAGGUGAAAUCCCACGGCUCAACCUGGGAACUGCCAUUGUGACUGCAAGGCUGGAGUGCGGCAGAGGGGGAUGGAAUUCCGGGUGUAGCAGUGAAAUGCGUAGAUAUGCGGAGGAACACCGAUGGCGAAGGCAAUCCCCUGGGCCUGCACUGACGCUCAUGCACGAAAGCGUGGGGAGCAAACAGG